Molecule: ribosomal RNA, 465 nt
Filed under: Vreelandella stevensii
Lineage: Bacteria; Pseudomonadati; Pseudomonadota; Gammaproteobacteria; Oceanospirillales; Halomonadaceae
Description: partial 16S ribosomal RNA
Rfam family: Bacterial small subunit ribosomal RNA
Source: RNAcentral
CCUACGGGGGGCAGCAGUGGGGAAUAUUGGACAAUGGGGGGAACCCUGAUCCAGCCAUGCCGCGUGUGUGAAGAAGGCCCUCGGGUUGUAAAGCACUUUCAGUGAGGAAGAACGCCUGGUGGUUAAUACCCAUCAGGAAAGACAUCACUCACAGAAGAAGCACCGGCUAACUCCGUGCCAGCAGCCGCGGUAAUACGGAGGGGGCGAGCGUUAAUCGGAAUUACUGGGCGUAAAGCGCGCGUAGGUGGCUUGAUAAGCCGGUUGUGAAAGCCCCGGGCUCAACCUGGGAACGGCAUCCGGAACUGUCAAGCUAGAGUGCAGGAGAGGAAGGUAGAAUUCCCGGUGUAGCGGUGAAAUGCGUAGAGAUCGGGAGGAAUACCAGUGGCGAAGGCGGCCUUCUGGACUGACACUGACACUGAGGUGCGAAAGCGUGGGUAGCAAACAGGAUUAGAUACCCGUGUAGUC